CGACGAGUUUGAUCCUGGCUCAGAUUGAACGCUGGCGGCAGGCUUAACACAUGCAAGUCGAGCGGGGAAAGGUAGCUUGCUACCUGACCUAGCGGCGGACGGGUGAGUAAUGCUUAGGAAUCUGCCUAUUAGUGGGGACAACAUUCCGAAAGGAAUGCUAAUACCGCAUACGCCCUACGGGGAAAGCAGGGGAUCUUCGGACCUUGCGCUAAUAGAUGAGCCUAAGUCAGAUUAGCUAGUUGGUGGGUAAAGGCCUACCAAGGCGACGAUCUGUAGCGGGUCUGAGAGGAUGAUCCGCCACACUGGGACUGAGACACGGCCCAGACUCCUACGGGG
RNAcentral lists this ribosomal RNA (336 nucleotides) under uncultured Acinetobacter sp. RNAcentral's name for it is "bacterial SSU rRNA". It matches the Rfam family "Bacterial small subunit ribosomal RNA", at positions 1 to 346 of the family's 1533-position model. Lineage: Bacteria; Pseudomonadati; Pseudomonadota; Gammaproteobacteria; Moraxellales; Moraxellaceae. The record is from RNAcentral.